CAAAAAUGGAUAUGUUAAACCUUCACCCAUACAACUGGAAGCUAUUCCAAUCGGGAAGUGUGGAAUCGAUAUGGUUAUUCAGUCGAAAUCUGGAACAGGGAAAACUCUUGUUUUUGGAAUAGUUAUGCUGGAAUCUAUUGAUCUUGAAAUCAGUACUGUACAGGGAUUGAUACUUGCUCCAACCAGAGAGAUUGCUUUCCAGAAUGCACAUGUUAUUUACACUAUAGGUUCAGAACUUCCAGGCCUAAAUGUCCAGGUCUUUAUUGGAGGUCUUCCUGUUGAGACU
This is a long non-coding RNA of Daphnia pulicaria, 286 nucleotides long. RefSeq lists it as uncharacterized. The record is from RefSeq and is a predicted model, not a curated record. The transcript has 3 exons. Lineage: Eukaryota; Metazoa; Arthropoda; Branchiopoda; Diplostraca; Daphniidae.